GAUGAACGCUGGCGGCGUGCCUAAUACAUGCAAGUCGAGCGAACAGACGAGGAGCUUGCUCCUCUGACGUUAGCGGCGGACGGGUGAGUAACACGUGGAUAACCUACCUAUAAGACUGGGAUAACUUCGGGAAACCGGAGCUAAUACCGGAUAAUAUAUUGAACCGCAUGGUUCAAUAGUGAAAGACGGUUUUGCAGUCACUUAUAGAUGGAUCCGCGCCGCAUUAGCUAGUUGGUAAGGUAACGGCUUACCAAGGCAACGAUGCGUAGCCGAGCUGAGAGGGUGAUCGGCCACAAUGGAACUGAGACACGGUCCAGACUCCUACGGGAGGCAGCAGUAGGGAAUCUUCCGCAAUGGGCGAAAGCCUUACGGAGCAACGCCGCGUGAGUGAUGAAGGUCUUCGGAUCGUAAAACUCUGUUAUUAGGGAAGAACAAAUGUGUAAGUAACUAUGCACGUCUUGACGGUACCUAAUCAGAAAGCCACGGCUAACUACGUGCCAGCCGCCGCCGUAA
This 513-nucleotide ribosomal RNA is filed under the name uncultured bacterium. RNAcentral's name for it is "partial 16S ribosomal RNA". It matches the Rfam family "Bacterial small subunit ribosomal RNA", at positions 28 to 523 of the family's 1533-position model. The record is from RNAcentral.